GUCUGCCUGGCUCAGUUGAUAGAGCAUGCGACUCUGGAUCUCAAGGUUGUGAGUUCGAGCCCCAUGCUGGGUG
This 73-nucleotide transfer RNA is filed under the name Felis catus (domestic cat). It matches the Rfam family "tRNA". Rfam says of the family: Transfer RNA (tRNA) molecules are approximately 80 nucleotides in length. The record is from Rfam by way of RNAcentral. Lineage: Eukaryota; Metazoa; Chordata; Mammalia; Carnivora; Felidae.